CCGUUUUAAAUCUAACAGCCGUUUAGUAGACCUAUACUUUGACAAACGUUUCAGAAACCGGGCGUAAAUGUUGCGAACUUGA
Melitaea cinxia (Glanville fritillary) is the source of this 82-nucleotide long non-coding RNA. RefSeq lists it as uncharacterized. The record is from RefSeq and is a predicted model, not a curated record. Lineage: Eukaryota; Metazoa; Arthropoda; Insecta; Lepidoptera; Nymphalidae. The transcript has 3 exons.